AACGAACGCUGGCGGCAUGCCUAACACAUGCAAGUCGAACGAGACCUUCGGGUCUAGUGGCGCACGGGUGCGUAACACGUGGGAAUUUGCCUCGGGGUAUGGAAUAACUCAGGGAAACUUGAGCUAAUACCAUAUAAUGUCUUCGGACCAAAGAUUUAUCGCCCUGAGAUAAGCCCGCGUAGGAUUAGCUAGUUGGUGAGGUAAAGGCUCACCAAGGCGACGAUCCUUAGCUGGUCUGAGAGGAUGAUCAGCCACACUGGGACUGAGACACGGCCCAGACUCCUACGGGAGGCAGCAGUGGGGAAUAUUGGGACAAAUGGGCGAAAGCCUGAUCCAGCAAUGCCGCGUGAGUGAUGAAGGCCUUC
RNAcentral lists this ribosomal RNA (365 nucleotides) under uncultured bacterium. RNAcentral's name for it is "bacterial SSU rRNA". It matches the Rfam family "Bacterial small subunit ribosomal RNA", at positions 29 to 419 of the family's 1533-position model. The record is from RNAcentral.